UUAAGCGACUAAGCGUACACGGUGGAUGCCCUGGCAGUCAGAGGCGAUGAAGGGCGUGCUAAUCUGCGAUAAGCGCCGGUAAGGUGAUAUGAACCGUUAUAACCGGCGAUACCCGAAUGGGGAAACCCAGUGUGAUUCGUCACACUAUCAUUAACUGAAUCCAUAGGUUAAUGAGGCGAACCGGGGGAACUGAAACAUCUAAGUACCCCGAGGAAAAGAAAUCAACCGAGAUUCCCCCAGUAGCGGCGAGCGAACGGGGAGGAGCCCAGAGCCUGAAUCAGCAUGUGUGUUAGUGGAAGCGUCUGGAAAGGCGCGCGAUACAGGGUGACAGCCCCGUACACAAAAGCGCAUGUGCUGUGAGCUCGAUGAGUAGGGCGGGACACGUGGUAUCCUGUCUGAAUAUGGGGGGACCAUCCUCCAAGGCUAAAUACUCCUGACUGACCGAUAGUGAACCAGUACCGUGAGGGAAAGGCGAAAAGAACCCCGGCGAGGGGAGUGAAAAAGAACCUGAAACCGUGUACGUACAAGCAGUGGGAGCACAGGUUUACCUGUGUGACUGCGUACCUUUUGUAUAAUGGGUCAGCGACUUAUAUUCUGUAGCAAGGUUAACCGAAUAGGGGAGCCGGAGGGAAACCGAGUCUUAAUUGGGCGUUAAGUUGCAGGGUAUAGACCCGAAACCCGGUGAUCUAGCCAUGGGCAGGUUGAAGGUUGGGUAACACUAACUGGAGGACCGAACCGACUAAUGUUGAAAAAUUAGCGGAUGACCUGUGGCUGGGGGUGAAAGGCCAAUCAAACCGGGAGAUAGCUGGUUCUCCCCGAAAGCUAUUUAGGUAGCGCCUCGUGAAUUCAUCUCCGGGGGUAGAGCACUGUUUCGGCUAGGGGGCCAUCCCGGCUUACCAACCCGAUGCAAACUGCGAAUACCGGAGAAUGUUAUCACGGGAGACACACGGCGGGUGCUAACGUCCGUCGUGAAGAGGGAAACAACCCAGACCGCCAGCUAAGGUCCCAAAGUCAUGGUUAAGUGGGAAACGAUGUGGGAAGGCCCAGACAGCCAGGAUGUUGGCUUAGAAGCAGCCAUCAUUUAAAGAAAGCGUAAUAGCUCACUGGUCGAGUCGGCCUGCGCGGAAGAUGUAACGGGGCUAAACCAUGCACCGAAGCUGCGGCAGCGAACGUAUCACUUAAAGCGAUUCAGCGGGUUACGAUUGACGGAGCGAAGCGACGUCAAAGCGUAUACAAAGUCGAGUCGGUUUAAGGAUACGUUCGUUGGGUAGGGGAGCGUUCUGUAAGCCCGUGAAGGUGGCCUGUGAGGGUUGCUGGAGGUAUCAGAAGUGCGAAUGCUGACAUAAGUAACGAUAAAGCGGGUGAAAAGCCCGCUCGCCGGAAGACCAAGGGUUCCUGUCCAACGUUAAUCGGGGCAGGGUGAGUCGACCCCUAAGGCGAGGCCGAAAGGCGUAGUCGAUGGGAAACGGGUUAAUAUUCCCGUACUUGGUGUUACUGCGAAGGGGGGACGGAGAAGGCUAUGUUGGCCGGGCGACGGUUGUCCCGGUUUAAGCGUGUAGGUGUGUGUUCCAGGUAAAUCCGGUUCACUUUAACACUGAGGCGUGACGACGAGGCACUACGGUGCUGAAGCAACAAAUGCCCUGCUUCCAGGAAAAGCCUCUAAGCAUCAGGUAACACGAAAUCGUACCCCAAACCGACACAGGUGGUCAGGUAGAGAAUACCAAGGCGCUUGAGAGAACUCGGGUGAAGGAACUAGGCAAAAUGGUGCCGUAACUUCGGGAGAAGGCACGCUGACACGUAGGUGAAGUGAUUUACUCAUGGAGCUGAAGUCAGUCGAAGAUACCAGCUGGCUGCAACUGUUUAUUAAAAACACAGCACUGUGCAAACACGAAAGUGGACGUAUACGGUGUGACGCCUGCCCGGUGCCGGAAGGUUAAUUGAUGGGGUCAGCGCAAGCGAAGCUCCUGAUCGAAGCCCCGGUAAACGGCGGCCGUAACUAUAACGGUCCUAAGGUAGCGAAAUUCCUUGUCGGGUAAGUUCCGACCUGCACGAAUGGCGUAAUGAUGGCCAGGCUGUCUCCACCCGAGACUCAGUGAAAUUGAACUCGCUGUGAAGAUGCAGUGUACCCGCGGCAAGACGGAAAGACCCCGUGAACCUUUACUAUAGCUUGACACUGAACAUUGAGCCUUGAUGUGUAGGAUAGGUGGGAGGCUUUGAAGUGUGGACGCCAGUCUGCAUGGAGCCGACCUUGAAAUACCACCCUUUAAUGUUUGAUGUUCUAACGUGGACCCGUAAUCCGGGUUGCGGACAGUGUCUGGUGGGUAGUUUGACUGGGGCGGUCUCCUCCUAAAGAGUAACGGAGGAGCACGAAGGUUGGCUAAUCCUGGUCGGACAUCAGGAGGUUAGUGCAAUGGCAUAAGCCAGCUUGACUGCGAGCGUGACGGCGCGAGCAGGUGCGAAAGCAGGUCAUAGUGAUCCGGUGGUUCUGAAUGGAAGGGCCAUCGCUCAACGGAUAAAAGGUACUCCGGGGAUAACAGGCUGAUACCGCCCAAGAGUUCAUAUCGACGGCGGUGUUUGGCACCUCGAUGUCGGCUCAUCACAUCCUGGGGCUGAAGUAGGUCCCAAGGGUAUGGCUGUUCGCCAUUUAAAGUGGUACGCGAGCUGGGUUUAGAACGUCGUGAGACAGUUCGGUCCCUAUCUGCCGUGGGCGCUGGAGAACUGAGGGGGGCUGCUCCUAGUACGAGAGGACCGGAGUGGACGCAUCACUGGUGUUCGGGUUGUCAUGCCAAUGGCACUGCCCGGUAGCUAAAUGCGGAAGAGAUAAGUGCUGAAAGCAUCUAAGCACGAAACUUGCCCCGAGAUGAGUUCUCCCUGAGACUUAGAGUCUCCUGAAGGAACGUUGAAGACGACGACGUUGAUAGGCCGGGUGUGUAAGCGCAGCGAUGCGUUGAGCUAACCGGUACUAAUGAACCGUGAGGCUUAACCUU
This 2987-nucleotide ribosomal RNA is filed under the name Salmonella enterica subsp. enterica serovar Typhimurium. RNAcentral's name for it is "bacterial LSU rRNA". It matches the Rfam family "Bacterial large subunit ribosomal RNA". The record is from RNAcentral. Lineage: Bacteria; Pseudomonadati; Pseudomonadota; Gammaproteobacteria; Enterobacterales; Enterobacteriaceae.